Molecule: transfer RNA, 58 nt
Filed under: Amphiascoides atopus
Lineage: Eukaryota; Metazoa; Arthropoda; Copepoda; Harpacticoida; Miraciidae
Description: tRNA-Ala
Source: RNAcentral
CGUUCAAUAUUCAAUUAUGAUAUUUAAGUUGCAAUUAAAAGGUUAAAUUUAUGUAUGC